Molecule: ribosomal RNA, 800 nt
Filed under: Arthrobacter sp. JSM 101013
Lineage: Bacteria; Bacillati; Actinomycetota; Actinomycetes; Micrococcales; Micrococcaceae
Description: bacterial SSU rRNA
Rfam family: Bacterial small subunit ribosomal RNA
Source: RNAcentral
GUGGCGGGUGCUUACACAUGCAAGUCGACGAUGAUCUCCAGCUUGCUGGGGGGAUUAGUGGCGAACGGGUGAGUAACACGUGAGUAACCUGCCCUUGACUCUGGGAUAAGCCUGGGAAACUGGGUCUAAUACUGGAUAUGACUGACUAUCGCAUGGUGGUUGGUGGAAAGCUUUUGUGGUUUUGGAUGGACUCGCGGCCUAUCAGCUUGUUGGUGGGGUAAUGGCCUACCAAGGCGACGACGGGUAGCCGGCCUGAGAGGGUGGACGGCCACACUGGGACUGAGACACGGCCCAGACUCCUACGGGAGGCAGCAGUGGGGAAUAUUGCACAAUGGGCGCAAGCCUGAUGCAGCGACGCCGCGUGAGGGAUGAAGGCCUUCGGGUUGUAAACCUCUUUCAGUAGGGAAGAAGCGAAAGUGACGGUACCUGCAGAAGAAGCGCCGGCUAACUACGUGCCAGCAGCCGCGGUAAUACGUAGGGCGCAAGCGUUAUCCGGAAUUAUUGGGCGUAAAGAGCUCGUAGGCGGUUUGUCGCGUCUGCCGUGAAAGUCCGGGGCUUAACUCCGGAUCUGCGGUGGGUACGGGCAGACUUGAGUGAUGUAGGGGAGACUGGAAUUCCUGGUGUAGCGGUGAAAUGCGCAGAUAUCAGGAGGAACACCGAUGGCGAAGGCAGGUCUCUGGGCAUUAACUGACGCUGAGGAGCGAAAGCAUGGGGAGCGAACAGGAUUAGAUACCCUGGUAGUCCAUGCCGUAAACGUUGGGCACUAGGUGUGGGGGACAUUCCACGUUUUCCGCGCCGUA